Molecule: long non-coding RNA, 791 nt
Organism: Amphiprion ocellaris (clown anemonefish)
Lineage: Eukaryota; Metazoa; Chordata; Actinopteri; Pomacentridae
Source: Ensembl
UGUGUGUGUGUGUGUGUGUGUGUGUGUGUGUGUGUGUGUGUGUCCUUUUUAGAAAUGCUUGUUGUUGAGGAGGCGGCGACAGGUGUGGAAGAGCUCCUUCUGGGUAAUCAGUGGGAGCAGAUGUGCGGAGCCGAUCAGUCACUCCCCCCCGCACUACUUAAUCGGGCUCCACUCUUCUGUCGACGCCGGAUCGUAAAAGCUGCUCGUCAGUACUGACUCAGUUCUUCAUUUUACCGUUACCUUAGUACGCCAAGUAAUUUGCUCUGCCCCUAGUCAGGACUGCCUUCCGGUAGAGAUCACCCGACCCCCCUGGAUGUGGACUCACCCGGUUCAUCUUCUACCUUCACCUCAGCCAUCCUUCGCCCAGCUCCGGCUUAACCCUCACCAGUCGUCUCCGCAGCCGAGGCGAUUCCACAAGCAUCUACUCUGCGCGAUUCAAAGUAAUAGAAGAGUCGGAGAAAGCUGAGAGUGGCGAGUCGGAACACUCAGGAGACACACAGGAGAGUUUGGGAGGCGAUACAGCAGUAUCAAGUCGAAGACAAGAGGAUAUGAACGAGACGACAUAUGAGGGUGGCUCUCUUAUGAGACUUCAUGGGAUUUACCUGAAGCAGCAGCACAUGAGCCUGCAGUGGCACAAGGUGUAGAGGAGGAGGACAGAUGUACAGGAUGCGCUUGAUACACUACGUGUCAUGCAGAAGUUAAAAGUUAUUCUCCUCGCUAUACUUCUGUUUUUCUGUCCCCAGACCGCUAUUGUUUUCUUUAAUACAAUUCUGACAAUAAACUUUUGUACC